RNAcentral lists this ribosomal RNA (446 nucleotides) under uncultured bacterium. RNAcentral describes it as "partial 16S ribosomal RNA". It matches the Rfam family "Bacterial small subunit ribosomal RNA", at positions 338 to 795 of the family's 1533-position model. The record is from RNAcentral.
CCUACGGGGGGCUGCAGUCGAGAAUCAUUCACAAUGGGGGAAACCCUGAUGGUGCGACGCCGCGUGGGGGAAUGAAGGUCUUCGGAUUGUAAACCCCUGUCAUGUGGGAGCAAAUGAAAAAGAUAGUACCACAAGAGGAAUAGACGGCUAACUCUGUGCCAGCAGCCGCGGUAAUACAGAGGUCUCAAGCGUUGUCCGGAAUCACUGGGCGUAAAGCGUGCGUAGGCUGUUUCGUAAGUCGUGUGUGAAAGGCGCGGGCUCAACCCGCGGACGGCACAUGAUACUGGGAGACUAGAGUAAUGGAGGGGGAACCGGAAUUCGCGGUGUAGCAGGGAAAUGCGUAGAUAUCGAGAGGAACACUCGUGGCGAAGGCGGGUUACUGGACAUUAACUGACGCUGAGGCACGAAGGCCAGGGGAGCGAAAGGGAUUAGAUACCCCAGUAGUC